RNAcentral lists this ribosomal RNA (253 nucleotides) under uncultured bacterium. RNAcentral describes it as "partial 16S ribosomal RNA". It matches the Rfam family "Bacterial small subunit ribosomal RNA", at positions 524 to 776 of the family's 1533-position model. The record is from RNAcentral.
UACGGAGGGUGCAAGCGUUAUCCGGAUUCACUGGGUUUAAAGGGUGCGUAGGCGGGUAUAUAAGUCAGUGGUGAAAGCUCCGGGCUUAACUUGGAAACUGCCAUUGAUACUGUAUAUCUUGAAUGUCGUUGAGGUUAGCGGAAUGUUGCAUGUAGCGGUGAAAUGCUUAGAUAUGUUACAGAACACCAAUUGUGAAGACAGCUAACUAAGCGAUAAUUGACGCUGAGGCACGAAAGCGUGGGGAGCAAACAGG